Molecule: long non-coding RNA, 616 nt
Filed under: Carica papaya (papaya)
Lineage: Eukaryota; Viridiplantae; Streptophyta; Magnoliopsida; Brassicales; Caricaceae
Description: long non-coding RNA (CPAP_LNC003435)
Source: RNAcentral
UUUCUCCAUUCUUCCUUGUCUCUGCAAUCUACUUUAAAGUUCAUCAUGAUCGAUUACCACCACAUGCUCAAAUUAGAACAGAUACUCCAAGAGUUCAGCAUGUAUCUAUACAAAAUCAAAGAAAACAAUGAACUUCGCUGGCAAAAGCACAAUGCUGCUCUACAGGCGUGUUUCUGUCGGUGUGAACAGAGAGUCCAUGAAGCACGAAAAGGUUGUGCGGCAAUAUUUUCUCUCCUACCACAUAGAAGAUUCGUCUAUCAUACUGAAAAUUUUUCUCUUGUUGGAAACAGUAAGGAUUCUAUAUCUCCUAUAGUUGACGAUGAGAUAAGAGUUGAGAUUGUAGAAUCUUUGAUUGUUGAGAAGCUUGAUUAAACAGAAAUUAAGGAAAGGACCAAGCAUGAAAACUGGCUACGAAAGAAGGGCAUUUGAAGAAUGAGCAUCAACUGUUUGUUAAAAUUCAAUCACAAUAUUUUCCAAUGUCAUCUAAAGCUAUGUAUUAGCAGCAACAAGAUCAAGGGAUAGCAUCACUAGAGUAUCUUAUGAACCUGCCGACAUUGAGCUCUUUUGAAAAUUCAUUUAGAAUCCGGACUCUAUUUGUGGAUGGUGAUUGUCUUUC